CAGAUGGAUGUCUGUGGCUGUUUUUGCAGAAUCUUUCUGCACAAUUGCUACAUUUGUAAGAAAACGUGUCAAGUUUAAAAGUAGAUCAACUAAAGUAAAAUUCAGUGGACGACAGAAAGUCAGACAGUUUUGAACAGUUUUGGAGUCACAUGAAGAGACUAUGAGAUUAACUCUUUUGGAUUGCAAGAAACCAUUCAGAACCCUGGCAUCAUUUCGGCCACUUAUUCAUGGAACGUCUCCUCCACACCACCAUCGCUGCCAGACAGCAGACUGACAGCGGGUAGUUAGAAAGCGAGAAAGAAAGUGAAAGAGGACUGCUUCGCUGCUCCAUCGUCUUAACUCCACAACAUCCAUCCAGAUGGCACAUGAGAGACGGAUACAGCAGGAUGGUGACAGGAACACGGGAAGCUGUUGUUCUCUCUCACUCUCACAAACACACGACCCCACCGCAGAGGCCCGUUUGAUUCAAGUACACGCGCUACACAUGAAAGCACUUGGCGGGACGUCCCGCAGCAUAGGCGGGGAGCGUAAAAAGCCGAGACACGUCGCCCGUGUUGUGAAAUCACACACCUUUCAAGCAUCAAAGACAGGCGAUAUGUAAAAUAUUUGCUAUGGUUGUUGUCCUCAAGACGAAGGUAUCAGGCAGACAGCAGGUGAAGAGAGAAGCUGAUGACAUACCGCAAGGUUGCACGGCAGAGGGGCUUUGGUGCCAAAAUGGCUUUUGGUGUUGCGGGUUUUGUAUUCGUAUUUGUGUGCACUGUGACAAACAGCAGACGAAACCCACCUAACGAAGACAGAGGUGUUCAGAGAGGUGUUCGCAAACAAGCCAACGAGCUGAUAUUACAAAGU
This is a long non-coding RNA of Onychostoma macrolepis, 849 nucleotides long. RefSeq lists it as uncharacterized. The record is from RefSeq and is a predicted model, not a curated record. The transcript is spliced from 4 exons. Lineage: Eukaryota; Metazoa; Chordata; Actinopteri; Cypriniformes; Cyprinidae.